CCCUCAAGCCCCCGGGCUUGGUGUUGGGGAUCGGCCUGUCCCUCCGGGGCGCGCCGGCCCCGAAAUCUAGUGGCGGUCUGGCUGUAGCCUCCCCUGCGUAGUAGCACACCUCGCACCGGAACGCAGCCUGGCCACGCCGUUAAACCCCCCCACUUCUGAAGGUUGACCUCGGAUCAGGUAGGAAUACCCGCUGAACUUAA
This 200-nucleotide unclassified non-coding RNA is filed under the name soil metagenome. RNAcentral's name for it is "partial contains internal transcribed spacer 2 and large subunit ribosomal RNA". The record is from RNAcentral.